CAGUCGCCACGGGAAUACGUAGGUGGCAAGCGUUGUCCGGAAUUAUUGGGCGUAAAGGGCUCGCAGGCGGUUUCUUAAGUCUGAUGUGAAAGCCCCCGGCUCAACCGGGGAGGGUCAUUGGAAACUGGGAAACUUGAGUGCAGAAGAGGAGAGUGGAAUUCCACGUGUAGCGGUGAAAUGCGUAGAGAUGUGGAGGAACACCAGUGGCGAAGGCGACUCUCUGGUCUGUAACUGACGCUGAGGAGCGAAAGCGUGGGGAGCAAACAGGAUUAGAUACCCGCGUAGUCCCUGUCUCUUAUAC
RNAcentral lists this ribosomal RNA (301 nucleotides) under uncultured bacterium. RNAcentral describes it as "partial 16S ribosomal RNA". It matches the Rfam family "Bacterial small subunit ribosomal RNA", at positions 509 to 807 of the family's 1533-position model. The record is from RNAcentral.